RNAcentral lists this ribosomal RNA (433 nucleotides) under uncultured bacterium. RNAcentral's name for it is "partial 16S ribosomal RNA". It matches the Rfam family "Bacterial small subunit ribosomal RNA", at positions 29 to 507 of the family's 1533-position model. The record is from RNAcentral.
AACGAACGCUGGCGGCAUGCCUAACACAUGCAAGUCGAACGAGACCUUCGGGUCUAGUUGCGCACGGGUGCGUAACGCGUGGGAACCUGCCCUUAGGUUCGGAAUAACUCCCCGAAAGGGGUGCUAAUACCGGAUAAUGUCUUCGGACCAAAGAUUUCUCGCCUUUGGAUGGGCCCGCGUUGGAUUAGCUAGUUGGUAGGGUAAAAGCCUACCAAGGCGACGAUCCAUAGCUGGUCUGAGAGGAUGAUCAGCCACACUGGGACUGAGACACGGCCCAGACUCCUACGGGAGGGAGGAGUGGGGAAUAUAGGACAAGGGGCGAAAGCCUGAUCCAGCAAUGCCGGGUGAGUGAUGAAGGGCUUAGGGAUGUAAAGCUCUUUUACCCGGGAUGAUAAUGACAGUACCGGGAGAAUAAGCUCCGGCUAACUCCGUG